Sinocyclocheilus rhinocerous is the source of this 96-nucleotide long non-coding RNA. RefSeq lists it as uncharacterized. Lineage: Eukaryota; Metazoa; Chordata; Actinopteri; Cypriniformes; Cyprinidae. The record is from RefSeq and is a predicted model, not a curated record. The transcript is spliced from 3 exons.
ACUCUUCCUCCAGUGAAAAUGUUCAUCCCCUGUAGUCCUCUUUCAUCAAAAUCCACCAGCAUAUUUGCUUAGAACUGUUUUGACUUGGAAAUGGUG